CCUACGGGAGACAGCAGUGGGGAAUAUUGCACAAUGGGGGAAACCCUGAUGCAGCGACGCCGCGUGAGUGAAGAAGGAUUUCGGGAUGUAAAGCUCUAUCAGCAGGGAAGAAAAUGACGGUACCUGAAUAAGAAGCCCCGGCUAACUACGUGCCAGCAGCCGCGGUAAUACGUAGGGGGCAAGCGUUAUCCGGAUUUACUGGGUGUAAAGGGAGCGUAGACGGCAGCACAAGUCUGGAGUGAAAUGCCGGGGCUUAACCCCGGAACUGCUUUGGAAACUGUGCAGCUAGAGUGCAGGAGAGGUCAGUGGAAUUCCUAGUGUAGCGGUGACAUGCGUCGAUAUUAGGCGGAACUCCAGUGGCGAAGGCGGCUUACUGGACUGUAACUGACGUUGAGGCUCGAACGCGUGGGGAGCAAACAGGAUUAGAUACCCCUGUAGUC
RNAcentral lists this ribosomal RNA (440 nucleotides) under uncultured bacterium. RNAcentral's name for it is "partial 16S ribosomal RNA". It matches the Rfam family "Bacterial small subunit ribosomal RNA", at positions 338 to 795 of the family's 1533-position model. The record is from RNAcentral.